Molecule: unclassified non-coding RNA, 149 nt
Filed under: uncultured Phaeosphaeriaceae
Lineage: Eukaryota; Fungi; Ascomycota; Dothideomycetes; Pleosporales; Phaeosphaeriaceae
Also listed under: 1 other name
Description: sequence contains ITS2
Source: RNAcentral
GUACCCUCAAGCUUUGCUUGGUGUUGGGCGUUUUGUCUUUUUAUCAAGACUCGCCUUAAAGUAAUUGGCAGCCAGUGUUUUGGUAGUAAGCGCAGCACAUUUUGCGUCUUAGUCCCUUGACAGUGGCAUCCACAAAGCCUCUUUCUCAC